Molecule: ribosomal RNA, 498 nt
Filed under: uncultured bacterium
Lineage: Bacteria
Description: partial 16S ribosomal RNA
Rfam family: Bacterial small subunit ribosomal RNA
Source: RNAcentral
AUUGAACGCUGGCGGCAUGCCUUACACAUGCAAGUCGAACGGUAACAGGUCUUCGGAUGCUGACGAGUGGCGAACGGGUGAGUAAUACAUCGGAACGUGCCCAGUCGUGGGGGAUAACGAAGCGAAAGCUUUGCUAAUACCGCAUACGAUCUACGGAUGAAAGCGGGGGAUCGCAAGAACUCGCGCGAUUGGAGCGGCCGAUGGCAGAUGAGGUAGUUGGUGGGGUAAAGGCUUACCAAGCCUACGAUCUGUAGCUGGUCUGAGAGGACGACCAGCCACACUGGGACUGAGACACGGCCCAGACUCCUACGGGAGGCAGCAGUGGGGAAUUUUGGACAAUGGGCGCAAGCCUGAUCCAGCAAUGCCGCGUGCAGGAUGAAGGCCUUCGGGUUGUAAACUGCUUUUGUACGGAACGAAAAGCUCUGGGUUAAUACCCUGGGGUCAUGACGGUACCGUAAGAAUAAGCACCGGCUAACUACGUGCCAGCCGCCGCGGUAA